UUUCACAUGAGAUUUUCUCUCGCCAGUUGAACCUGUUGCCGUAGCUACGUACAAUCAUACCUGUAUAGUAGAUGAUGUAGUUGUUGCUGUUAUAAGGGGAGGUUUUCUCGCAGCUCUUUUUCCUCCCCUCUGCUGCGCCCUAGAGCUAUGACAUUGGAGAUCGUCUCCAAUGAAACCCGAAAUAAACGUUUCUUGUUUGGGUUUAAA
Coccinella septempunctata (seven-spotted ladybird) is the source of this 207-nucleotide long non-coding RNA. RefSeq lists it as uncharacterized. The record is from RefSeq and is a predicted model, not a curated record. The transcript has 2 exons. Lineage: Eukaryota; Metazoa; Arthropoda; Insecta; Coleoptera; Coccinellidae.